RNAcentral lists this ribosomal RNA (221 nucleotides) under uncultured bacterium. RNAcentral describes it as "partial 16S ribosomal RNA". It matches the Rfam family "Bacterial small subunit ribosomal RNA", at positions 121 to 334 of the family's 1533-position model. The record is from RNAcentral.
ACAACAUGUCCAAGGGUGGGGGGAUAGCCGGCCCAACGGCCGGGGUAAUACCGCAUGCAGUCACCUGCGGCAUCAAAGGUGACGAAAGCCGGGGCAACCUGGCGCCCAUGGAGUGGCUUGCGGCCUAUCAGCUAGUUGGUGAGGUAACGGCUCACCAAGGCUACGACGGGUAGCUGGUCUGAGAGGAUGACCAGCCACAUUGGGACUGAGACACGGCCCAG